UGGCUCUUUGCUAGCACCGACCAGAGUAAUUAACAUAGCCCCAUCCCUUAAGGGGUAACGUGGUCGUACUGUUAAGGUUGGGACGGUCGACAUAUCAUAAAUCUAAUCCGAUUUCCGAAACCUUAAUCACACAAAUACCGGGUGCAUCACUUCACCAAAAGAGACCACCUAACUCAUCAUCACCCUCGGGCAUUAGUGGCACCCGACGGGGUUUUCAUAAACUCUUGCUUUAUGACAACAUCAUGCUCAUGAUAAUGCUACUGCUAUCUUUACUUGUCAACAUGGUAUUAGCAUGACCCUCAAGGGGUAGGGUCAAGCUCAAUACAUGUGCUCUGGGAGAACCUUCGGUAAAAUCAUAUCAAAUGAUUACCGGCACUAAUGAUCAUAUGCAACGGGAAUACUUGCUAUUUAACAUGCAAAGUAACAUAUGCUCAAUCAUGGUCAAAG
Molecule: long non-coding RNA, 447 nt
Filed under: Hordeum vulgare
Lineage: Eukaryota; Viridiplantae; Streptophyta; Magnoliopsida; Poales; Poaceae
Description: long non-coding RNA (HVUL_LNC004038)
Source: RNAcentral